CUACGGGGCGCACCAGCUAUGAAUUUUUUACAAUGCACGCAAGUGUGAUAGGGCGAACCAAAGUGCUUAACAUUUUGUUAAGCUUUUGUCUACUGUAAAUAUGUAGAUGAAUAAGGACUGGGAAAGACUGGUGCCAGCCGCCGCGGUAAUACCAGCAGUUCUAGUUGCAACCAACAUUAUUGGGUCUAAAACAUCCGUAGCUUGCCGGGUAAGUUUCUUGUGAAAUUCUGUAUCUCAAAUACAGAGCGUGCAAGAAAUGCUGCCCGGCUAGAGACCGGUAGGUGUAAGAAGUACGCAAGAGGUAGUGGUAAAAUACGUUAAUCUUUUGUGGACUAACAAUUAGCGAAGGCAUCUUACAAGGACGGAUCUGACAGUGAGGGAUGAAGGCCAGGGGCGCAAAACGGAUUAGAUACCCUAGUAGUC
Molecule: ribosomal RNA, 423 nt
Filed under: uncultured archaeon
Lineage: Archaea
Description: partial 16S ribosomal RNA
Rfam family: Archaeal small subunit ribosomal RNA
Source: RNAcentral